RNAcentral lists this transfer RNA (69 nucleotides) under Schistosoma haematobium. Its description in RNAcentral is "tRNA-Asn". It matches the Rfam family "tRNA". From Rfam's summary of the family: Transfer RNA (tRNA) molecules are approximately 80 nucleotides in length. Their secondary structure includes four short double-helical elements and three loops (D, anti-codon, and T loops). The record is from RNAcentral. Lineage: Eukaryota; Metazoa; Platyhelminthes; Trematoda; Strigeidida; Schistosomatidae.
AUUCAUGUAGAUUAAGAUUAAAAUUAUUAGGCUGUUAACCUUGAGAUGAGACGUAAGUUUCCAUGAGUA